Molecule: ribosomal RNA, 939 nt
Filed under: Sabatieria mortenseni
Lineage: Eukaryota; Metazoa; Nematoda; Chromadorea; Araeolaimida; Comesomatidae
Description: SSU rRNA
Rfam family: Eukaryotic small subunit ribosomal RNA
Source: RNAcentral
AUGCAUGUUUAAGCAGAAGCCGCACAAUGGUAAAGCCGCGAAUGGCUCAUUACAACAGCCGUCGUUUCUUGGAUCUCUAAUUUUACUUGGAUAACUGUGGUAAUUCUAGAGCUAAUACACGCACUAAAGCUCUGACCUUAUGGGACGAGCGCAUUUAUUAGAACAAAACCAAUCGGGUUUCGGCCCGUUCGUUGGUGACUCUGAAUAACUCUGCCGAUCGCACGGUCUCGCACUGGCGACGUAUCUUUCAAGUGUCUGCCUUAUCAACUUUCGAUGGUAGUUUAUGUGCCUACCAUGGUUGUAACGGGUAACGGAGAAUAAGGGUUCGACUCCGGAGAGGGAGCCUGAGAAACGGCUACCACAUCCAAGGAAGGCAGCAGGCGCGCAAAUUACCCACUCUCGGCACGAGGAGGUAGUGACGAAAAAUAACGAGACGGAUCUCUUUGAGGCCCGUUAUCGGAAUGAGAACAAUUCAAAUCCUUUAACGAGGAUCUAGCGGAGGGCAAGUCUGGUGCCAGCAGCCGCGGUAAUUCCAGCUCCGCAGGUGUAUAUCUAUGCUGCUGCGGUUAAAAAGCUCGUAGUUGGAUCUGCGUGCUCGGAACUGGUUGGCUCACUGAGUUCAAACUGGUCUCCGGCGCUUUAUUUGCUGGUUUUCCCUUGAUGCUCUUAACCGGGUGUCUCGGGUGGCUAGCGUGUUUACUUUGAAAAAAUUAGAGUGCUCAAUACAGGCGCAAAGCCUUGAAUAGUGGUGCAUGGAAUAAUAGAAUAGGACCUCGGCUCUAUUUUGUUGGUUUUCGGAACGCGAGGUAAUGAUUAAGAGGGACAGACGGGGGCAUUCGUAUUGCGACGUUAGAGGUGAAAUUCUUGGAUCGUCGCAAGACGGACGACUGCGAAAGCAUUUGCCAAGAAUGUUUUCAUUAAUCAAGAACGAAAGUUAGA